CACGUAGGGGGCAAGCGUUGUCCGGAAUUAUUGGGCGUAAAGAGCUCGUAGGCGGUCUGUCGCGUCUGCUGUGAAAACUCGGGGCUUAACCCCGGGCCUGCAGUGGGUACGGGCAGACUAGAGUGCGGUAGGGGAGACUGGAAUUCCUGGUGUAGCGGUGAAGUGCGCAGAUAUCAGGAGGAACACCGGUGGCGAAGGCGGGUCUCUGGGCCGUAACUGACGCUGAGGAGCGAAAGCGUGGGGAGCGAACAGG
RNAcentral lists this ribosomal RNA (253 nucleotides) under uncultured bacterium. Its description in RNAcentral is "partial 16S ribosomal RNA". It matches the Rfam family "Bacterial small subunit ribosomal RNA", at positions 524 to 776 of the family's 1533-position model. The record is from RNAcentral.